RNAcentral lists this ribosomal RNA (149 nucleotides) under Astreopora incrustans. RNAcentral describes it as "partial 5.8S rRNA". It matches the Rfam family "5.8S ribosomal RNA". From Rfam's summary of the family: 5.8S ribosomal RNA (5.8S rRNA) is a component of the large subunit of the eukaryotic ribosome. It is transcribed by RNA polymerase I as part of the 45S precursor that also contains 18S and 28S rRNA. Functionally, it is thought that 5.8S rRNA may be involved in ribosome translocation. Lineage: Eukaryota; Metazoa; Cnidaria; Anthozoa; Scleractinia; Acroporidae. The record is from RNAcentral.
UUUUCAACGGUGGAUGUCUUGGUUCCUACAACGAUGAAGAACGCAGCGAAGUGCGAUAAGCAAUGCGAAUUGCAGAACCGUGAGUCAUCAGAUUUUUGAACGCAACUGGCACCGGCUGGUUUUCCAGACGGUAAGCUUGUUUCAGUGUC